Long non-coding RNA from Musca domestica (house fly), 3006 nucleotides. RefSeq lists it as uncharacterized. NCBI's taxonomy places the organism in Eukaryota, Metazoa, Arthropoda, Insecta, Diptera, Muscidae. The record is from RefSeq and is a predicted model, not a curated record. The transcript has 5 exons.
CACUGAGGGAAAAAUCCCGUUGCGAAAUCAAGCACGUAUGUUGUCAUUUUCGCAACGACCCGUUGUUAUAUUUUUCAACAACGGCUGUUGGUGAAUUGUGCACGAACGUGCUCAAAUUGACACCGAGACGUGGUCAACUUUCGGUACCAACAACAGCCGUGCUUAAUUUGUCCAUUUGUAAUAUUGGUAAUUGCAGCCGAUUACACACGAGUAAAAAAUGACAACGGUGGUGCAUGAUUCACACACGGUCGUUGUCAAUAUGACACCGGUCGUGUAUGAAUUAUGCACCACCACCUGCAUAAUGAUGCACCACCGUUGUUACUUUGUACACCGACGUGCAUGAAUCGUACACGAUCGUUGCCAUUUUAGCAACUACCGUGUAUGAAUCAUGCACCACCGUUGUCAUUUUUUUUACUCGUGUGCAAUCGGCUGCAUAUUUACCAUUUUUUCCGUGUUAUUGAAAGAGAAAGGACGCAUUGUGCAAAAAAUUUAUUGAAAAUGAAUAAUAAUUCGCAAGAUCCUCAAAAUAUCAUUGGUGAGUUGUUAGAAAUCGAUGGCAAUAUUGUUGUGGUUCGCGAUACAAACCAUUGCAGCAGUCAAGAUGCGGAAAACAAUGAGGACGAUUAUAUGUUAAGGGAGUUCUUAAAAGGAAUAAAUAUGGAGUCGCUUUUUGAACAAUUAAAAGGUAAGUAAAUAAAAAUGAAUUUUUCAGUUAAUCAGUGUAAUUAACAAAGAAUUUUCUUUUUUGUUCUUUUAGCAUCACAUGUAACAUUUCGCAGCUUGCAGUACUUGAAAAAAGAAGAUUUAAAGGAAGCAGUGCCACCAUUGGGACUGCGUGUUGAAUUCAGAGAAAAGCUCUUUGCUUGGAAAAAACGAAAGCUCGGGAUUGAUGACGAAACUAUGUCAGUUCCAUCUAAAAUAGGUGAAUGGUGGAAACGCAACGAGACACCUGCAAGUACUCCUGGUACUCCCGACACUACAGGUUCGAACUGCUCAAAAGCCAAAGGAAUUUUGUCAGAGGAUCUAACGGAAUUGUUAACACAUACCUCGAAGGGGAAACUAGCGCUUGAAUGUAGUAGCGUUAAUAAGAAAUUAAGUGACGAGCAAAGAGAUGAUAUAAUUAAUAUAAUUAUUGAAGAUAUUUUAACCAACAAUGUUACUCUUUACACUCAAGACUAUAUGCGCAUAUUGGAUGAAAUUUGUUCCGUUUUUCCUCUUGAAAACGAAAUGAGGGAUUAUUAUUACAUUUCAAGAAAAGGAAAGAACAACGCAAGCGGAAAACUUUAUGCCAAGUAUAGAAACAAGAAGUCCAAAAGAAUAAAGCUUUUGAUUUCCGAGCCUAGCACAAGCAAAGCAGCAACUCACACAUCUCCUAAUUUUUGUAACAAAGAUGUUCCCGAAAUUGAUGAAUCAGUUGAAAAUUCAUUGAAAGCUUCCUUACUAAGAGAAUGUAAUGAUUGGGGAUCGAUCUGCGAAAAAUGGAAAAGAUCUUUUAACAUACGGCAAAGAGAUAUAAAAAAUUUAAGUAGCCAUACAUUUCUCCUUGAAUGGACGAAGUUGUCCGAUGCAAGAGCUUCAGAAUUGGUAAGUAGCCAUGAGCUAUUUAUUUGUAUAUGGAUACUAAUGUUUCGUUUUAGGUCAACAUUGAUUUCGAUAUUAUGUAUCCACAGAAAGGCAAUCUUCUACUUUCUAAAUGGGACCAAUUUAAGAAAAAAAUUUACAAUUAUUAUGGGAAAAAUAUUCAUAACGAACAUUGCAAACAACUCUUCGCAAAUGUUUUGACGGCAAGCAGCAUAGAUGCUCAAGAUUAUAUAUACGCAAUACUGUUGAAUUCAGUUUUACCAUCACCUGCUAGGUUUAAAUGUGGAAACGGUAAAUUACGAAAAAAAGUAACAAUAGCUGAUUCGCAGGAAAGUUUCGUACUGCGACUACCGACAAUUAACGAUUAUAAAAGGCAAAUUGAUACAGUCACUGAAAAGUAUUACAAUGCUGGAUUAACUAUACAGCCAUUUAUAAUUGUGGAGGGUUUGUCCGAUUUCAAUAUAAAAGGUUUUUAUGUUUUUUUUAACCACAAUUUGUUAAAAUUUCAAUCGUUCCUCGAAUGUUUAGAUACAUGUUUUAAAAUUUUUCAUGCACUUUCUUUAAAAUAUCCAAAUGCCUGCCAAAUUCCAUGGAUUUUUAUCCAAAAAUAUUUUUAUGAAAUUAAUACUGUAUAUGAUAUAAAAUCAGUUAAUUUGACUUCACUUAUUAAUUUCUGCAACAAUAAUUAAAGUACAAUUCAAAAUGUAUAUUUGCUUUCGUUGCCGUAAGCAUUUUGAUAAGGCAAAUCUUUUAAUAGCUCAUUUGAAAACAGACCAUUUAAUGUCCACUAAAUUUUUAAAAGUACAAUGCGUUCAGGACAACUGUAAGCAAACAUUUACAAAAUUUACGUCAUUCAGAAUUCAUUUAGAAAAACUUCACAAGAAUCACACAAAAGCUCCACCAAUGGUUAAAGCCAUUAAUGUGCCAGUUGAAAUGUCAUCAUCAAAAGAAAAUGAUUAUACAAACAGUGAAACUGUUAUUAACAACAAUACAAUAGAAAAGGAUUUAAAUGUUUUGAAAAAGAAAACCUUAUAUCUGUCUUUACAAUUACAUGGUCAAAGCUAUAUGCCUAGAAAUCAUGUUAUAGAAAUACAACAUUCUGUUUCAAUUCUGCUUUCAUCCAUUUCAUGUACAAUUGAAAAAUAUAUAACUGAUCAUCCAAAUUAUGAAGACUUAAGGUACUUACUAAACUUUUGUAAAAAUCCUUUCGAAGAAACUAGAACGGAAUAUAGACUUUUAAAAAUUUUAAAAGAACUAAACUUUUAUGAUGAUCCAAAGGUUUAUGUAAUUAGCAAUCAAGUCUCGGAAAUUGUUAUCAGCGGAAAUCCCAGUUUAGGUCCAAAGUUAUCCAAUAUUUAUAUAAUGCCACUGAAAUUCAUGAUAAGUGCCCUUUUUAAAAUUCCAAAUCUCUUAGAUUUGACAUUA